GCUUGAGUGCCUAAACAUAGAUCAAUUCUGAGUAGCAGUUAACACACUUGUUCAUCAUGCCUCUCUCUGAGUUUUUGAAGAUGGCUAUUGGGAAGCCUGAAUCUGGCCAGCAGAAGAUCUCAUCUACCUCAAAUCUGUCAUCUUUUCCUGAGAAUGACUUGGUUGAGCUUAAAUGGCAAAAUGGUCAGAUUGUGAUGCAAGGACAGAACAGUAGUGCUAAGAAAAGCACUGUUCCUAAUAAUCUUCCGUCGAGUGCCUCAGGGGAUCGAGACAAGUACACGGGAAAUUCAUCAACCUCUAAGAUUGGGAAGUUUGGUCUGAUGGACUCCAUGUUGAAUGAUAUGUCAUUAACUGUGCCAACUGGUGAAUUAGAUUUGAUUCAAGAGGAUGAAGGGGUGCCUUGGUUAGGAUAUCCAGCAGAUGACAGUCUGCAACAAGAUUAUUGUGCUCAACUAUUACCUGAAAUAUCUGGCGUGACGGCAAAUGAACAGUCUGGACAGAGUGUAUUUGGUUUAAUAAAUAAGAGAGGUAGUUCUGACAAGAUGAUUGGGGAUUCACAUAGUGUUCCUGUUCAUAAUGCUGUGAAUUUUGAGCGAAGAAAUACAUCAAAGGUUUCUCCCUCUUCCAGAUUUAGCCCAUUAAGUUCAUUGCCAUCUCAGAAAGGUCAUGCGUCGAUACCUACCCUAGAAUCAGGAGUUUCAGAUGUCUUUAGCAGUAAAAAUAGCAAUACUCCACUAUCUGUUUUGGGGGAAUCAAAUCAAAGUAAAGCUUCAGCUGGUGAUGCUAAAAGCAAUAGAAUUCAAAAGCAAAACAUGCCUGGAAAUAGGUCCAAUUUGUUGAACUUCUCACAUUUCUCAAGACCUGCUACAUUAGUUAAAGCAGCUAAGCUUCAAAGUAGUACUGGGGGUUCAAAUAUCUCAGGUUCACCUAUUUUAGAAGCUAAGGGAAAAAAAGGAGAAGAAAAAGUGACAAUUGGUGACAAUCAUGUUAGUGCAGCAGCAACUGAAAACUUCUUAACUUCUAAGAAGGAUAACUUUCCCCACUAUCCAACUAAUGGGGUAUCUUCCCAACUCGAGUCAAGACCAUCUGGAGCCAGCUUUCAUGAUAGAUCAUGUCAGGCUGAACAGUCUGAUAAUGCAUUCAGAGAUUGUUCAAGUAACAAUGACAACACCCAUGAUCAUUUUACCAGUGCUAAGGCAACCAAGGAUAUUGCCGAUGGUGAGAGAAAUGUUGAACAUGGGGUUGCUUGCUCAUCUGUAUGUUCUGGUAGCAGUGCAGAGAGAGGAUCAAGUGAUCAGCCUCUCAACCUAAAGAGAAAAACCCGAGAUAAUGAGGAGUUUGAGUGUCG
Molecule: unclassified non-coding RNA, 1348 nt
Filed under: Hevea brasiliensis (rubber tree)
Lineage: Eukaryota; Viridiplantae; Streptophyta; Magnoliopsida; Malpighiales; Euphorbiaceae
Source: RNAcentral